CCAAGCUGGGGGAUUACUCCCCCAGAAUUUAAGACCUCUCAGCUGCCCUGUGAUACACCCACAGCAUCCUGAGAAAACUCGGAGGAGAGCAGGCACAUGAAGGUCCCAAGGUAUGUGUAUGUGCGUGUGGAGUGGGUAUGUACAGGUGCCCAAGGAAGCCAGAAGCAUCAGCGUUCCUGCAGAUGGCUUGACAGGCCGUUGUGAGCCACCUGAUAUGGAUGCUGGGAACCAAACUUGAAUCCUCUGCAAGAGAAAAAAGUAGUUGCUCUUAGCUGCUCUGUGUACUCUCCACGUCGUGAACAUCCCAGCCUCAUAAGAAGGAAGCAAGAGCCCAAAGUCAACAACCUCGAAAUUCAACAUGAGUUGCCCUCAAUAGCUCCUUUCUCUCAGAAUUCAAGAGUUCAGCUGAAUUCUGAAUCCCUUCUGGGAAGCAGCAGCCUCUGGCCCACGCCGCAGCUUUGGAUCUGGACAGUUGGCUCUAGCAUUCGGUAUUUGGGAGAAUAUUUGUCUGAUAAUGAAUACAUAAUUAGAAAGGAAUGGAUAUCCCCAGUGAGUUCGCAUUCAUUUUGCAACCCCUAAACUACAAUCAAAGGACUAAUAUCACAUAGUAAUUCAAUAUUGAUUCCAAAGAGACUGGAGCUGGGACAAAGCAAGAUAGCAGCAGAAGCACCAGGAAUGGCCCAUUCCUAAGGAGAAUGAUUUGUAACUACAUUCUGAAGCCUUUCAAAUGUAUUUUCCAAAUCCUUCUGGAGCACCUAACAUGUAGUUUCUAGGUUUUGUUUGCUUUAUGGUUGCUGGGAAUUGGAUGUAAGACAUACUAGGUUUUACUACAUCUCCCUGGGUGUCCUGGAACUUCCUACGUCUGAUCUUGACCUCAGAAAUCCACCUGCCUCUGCUGAGACUAAGGGCAUCUGUACUGGCUGGUAUUGUGUCAACUUGACACAGGCUGGAGUUAUCACAGAGAAAGGAGCUUCAGUUGGGGAAGUGCCUCCAUGAGAUCCAGCUGAGGGACAUUUUCUCAAUUAGUGAUCAAGGAGGGCAGGUCCCUUGUGAGUGGUGCCAUCUCUGGGCUGGUAGUCUUGGGUUCUAUAAGAGAGCAGGCUGAGCAAGCCAGGGGAAGCAAGCCAGUAAGAAACAUCCUCAUGGCCUCUGCAUCAGCUCCUGCUUCCUGACCUGCUUGAGUUCCAGUCCUGACUUCCUUUAGUGAUGAACAGCAGUGCAGAAGUGUAAGCUGAAUAAACCCUUUCCUUCCCAACUUGCUUCUUGGUCAUGAUGUUUGUGCAGGAAUAGAAACCCCGACUAAGACAGGCAUUUGUCAUCACGCCUGGCCACACACUAACAUUUUAUGGAUAUUUCCUUCUGUUCUUUCCAUGGGCACAGACUUAGUCAUUUAACACAGUUAAAACUCAUUCUGA
This is a long non-coding RNA of Apodemus sylvaticus (European woodmouse), 1415 nucleotides long. RefSeq lists it as uncharacterized. The record is from RefSeq and is a predicted model, not a curated record. The transcript is spliced from 4 exons. NCBI's taxonomy places the organism in Eukaryota, Metazoa, Chordata, Mammalia, Rodentia, Muridae.